UACGUAGGGGGCGAGCGUUGUCCGGAAUCAUUGGGCGUAAAGCGCGUGUAGGCGGCCAUGUAAGUCCGUUCUGAAAGCCCGGGGCUCAACCCCGGGAGGCGGAUGGAUACUGCAUGGCUUGAGUACGGAAGAGGCGAGUGGAAUUCCCGGUGUAGCGGUGAAAUGCGCAGAUAUCGGGAGGAACACCAAUGGCGAAGGCA
This 200-nucleotide ribosomal RNA is filed under the name uncultured bacterium. RNAcentral's name for it is "partial 16S ribosomal RNA". It matches the Rfam family "Bacterial small subunit ribosomal RNA", at positions 524 to 723 of the family's 1533-position model. The record is from RNAcentral.